AGGAGUGGAAGAGAUUUCCUCUAAUCAACAAGGUACAUUCCUCAGAUUCACCCAAAUGAUCCCUCUACUGUUGGCCAGCCUGUACACUAGUUGUACAGUUGAGCUCAAUCUUAGAAAUGUAGUAGCCAACUCCACAUAUGGCCAAAGUCCCCACUGAGUUUGAAAACCCUAUGGGUUGUCAAAACACUAGUGAUACAUUACCAUUAUCACGUGACAAAAAUAAUGCAAGUAAGCACCUUUACUGGCCAAAGGGCCAUGCACAGUGAAAAUAACGUAAGAGUUGGCAAGUUCAUCCAAUCUUUGUAACUUUAACGAUACCCUAACCAUAACAAUAACUUGUAUUUGCUAGCGUUAAUUAUCAGCAAUAGCAAACGUAUCAGUAAUAACUUUGUUAAAGCCUGGUUUGCAGCCUUCACAUGUAGAUCGCAGAUCUAAACAUGUUCGGGAGGCUAUUGGACUUACACCACCUCGCCAAAGAGAAACGUAAUGUAUGAUUUAGAUAUCUGCGCACCCAUUAUUUAAAUGUGCGCAAAUUCAGCGCAGCCAUGGAGGUGAAAACAAGCUUUUUGGCUGAGAAGAGAUGACAAGUGACAUUCCGACAGAAAGUCCCUCUACGGCAUUUGUUGUCGAAAGCUUGAAAAAAUGUCAAUAUCAUUGUUCCAAAAUAAAAAAGGUAUUCAACCCAAGGUUUCUAUUUAACACCAUUUCUAGAUUAACAAAAAAAUAAAAAAUA
Clupea harengus (Atlantic herring) is the source of this 733-nucleotide long non-coding RNA. RefSeq lists it as uncharacterized. NCBI's taxonomy places the organism in Eukaryota, Metazoa, Chordata, Actinopteri, Clupeiformes, Clupeidae. The transcript has 2 exons. The record is from RefSeq and is a predicted model, not a curated record.